This is a long non-coding RNA of Etheostoma spectabile (orangethroat darter), 117 nucleotides long. RefSeq lists it as uncharacterized. NCBI's taxonomy places the organism in Eukaryota, Metazoa, Chordata, Actinopteri, Perciformes, Percidae. The record is from RefSeq and is a predicted model, not a curated record. The transcript has 3 exons.
UACACAGACUGCCAGCAAGAGUGUGCCUCUAUUCAGCAGGGGAAAUUCUCCGCCUCUUAAAAGCAGGUGUAGACCAGCUGCAAGUGGGUUUCCUCGUACACAUUUAUGCCACUGGUG